AGAGUUUGAUCCUGGCUCAGAUUGAACGCUGGCGGCAGGCCUAACACAUGCAAGUCGAGCGGUAGCACAGAGAGCUUGCUCUCGGGUGACGAGCGGCGGACGGGUGAGUAAUGUCUGGGAAACUGCCUGAUGGAGGGGGAUAACUACUGGAAACGGUAGCUAAUACCGCAUAACGUCGCAAGACCAAAGUGGGGGACCUUCGGGCCUCAUGCCAUCAGAUGUGCCCAGAUGGGAUUAGCUAGUAGGUGGGGUAAUGGCUCACCUAGGCGACGAUCCCUAGCUGGUCUGAGAGGAUGACCAGCCACACUGGAACUGAGACACGGUCCAGACUCCUACGGGAGGCAGCAGUGGGGAAUAUUGCACAAUGGGCGCAAGCCUGAUGCAGCCAUGCCGCGUGUAUGAAGAAGGCCUUCGGGUUGUAAAGUACUUUCAGCGAGGAGGAAGGCAUUAAGGUUAACAACCUUAGUGAUUGACGUUAUCGCAGAAGAAGCACCGGCU
RNAcentral lists this ribosomal RNA (498 nucleotides) under uncultured bacterium. RNAcentral's name for it is "bacterial SSU rRNA". It matches the Rfam family "Bacterial small subunit ribosomal RNA", at positions 8 to 498 of the family's 1533-position model. The record is from RNAcentral.